AUGUUCGAGUAUCUAAAUGUUGUCAGCAAGAUGUUUGAUAGUGAGGCUGAAGGCUAUGAAUUCUACAACAAAUAUGCUCUUGAAAAAGGUUUUAGUGUGAGGAAAAACUACGUUGAGUGGGAUGGAUCCAACAAAUACAUAAUUUUAAGGAAAAUUGUGUGUAGUCGUCAAGGGUUUCGCGAAGAGAAGCACAUGAAAAGAAAGAUGGAAGAUAGAAAGAGGAGGCCACGAAGUUUAACUCGUGUUGGGUGUAAUGCUAAAUUGGUCAUUAAGAGACAGGAGGAAACCGGUCGGUGGUUUGUCAAGGAUUUCAUCGAUGAGCACAGCCAUCCUCUAGCCCCAUGGGAUCUUUCUUGUCUGCUGCGUUCGCAGACGAAUUAG
Molecule: ribosomal RNA, 381 nt
Filed under: Triticum aestivum (bread wheat)
Lineage: Eukaryota; Viridiplantae; Streptophyta; Magnoliopsida; Poales; Poaceae
Description: partial small subunit ribosomal RNA
Source: RNAcentral